AUGAUCCAGAUUGACUCAGACCAGUGGUCGGCAGAUCGCGCUACCGCCGCCGUGCCUAUAUAUAUAUGGAGCUGUAGCUUAAGUAUAAUAUAUUUUCCAUCUCCGCAGCGGCCAGCCGGCGGUGACGUACCUCAGCACAUAUAUAUGGAUAGGCGAGCAAUAGACGGCGACCGUGGCGGCCCGUCAAGGAGGCCGCCGACCAGCGCCGGGCGGACGGCGCCAAAGCACGGGGUGAAGGUUACGCACAUCGUCCCGAGGGAGGUGAUCGCGGACGAGACCAGCUUCAAAGACGUCGUGCAGAGGCUCACCGGGAAAGACUCUGCGGCAGCGCGUCUGGAACUCCUCGGCGACUGUAAUCCAGUAAGAAUGACGGCGGCGCCAGCGGUGGCGGACGCCGGUGUGUCGAUCCGGAGCUGUAAUGACGGCACGGAGGCCGCCGGUGGCUCGAGCCCGAAGAGCAAUGGCAGCGUGGAGGGCGGCGACGGUGGUGCAGCUGGGGUUUUCCCUGCAGUUUCGUUGUUCGAGGACAUGGUGGCAGCUGAUGUGCUCCCGUCCUUGGACGAAAUGAAUUGCUGGUGGGGCACGCGUGAUUGA
RNAcentral lists this ribosomal RNA (594 nucleotides) under Triticum aestivum (bread wheat). RNAcentral's name for it is "partial small subunit ribosomal RNA". Lineage: Eukaryota; Viridiplantae; Streptophyta; Magnoliopsida; Poales; Poaceae. The record is from RNAcentral.